This 132-nucleotide small RNA is filed under the name Escherichia coli. Its description in RNAcentral is "RtT sRNA". It matches the Rfam family "RtT RNA". Rfam says of the family: This family represents a bacterial cis-regulatory element known as RtT RNA. The exact function of RtT is unknown although it is thought that it may be involved in changing the cellular response in relation to amino acid starvation. Lineage: Bacteria; Pseudomonadati; Pseudomonadota; Gammaproteobacteria; Enterobacterales; Enterobacteriaceae. The record is from RNAcentral.
GUUUGCACUCAUCGGGGAAGGGUGAGAACCUUCGACUAAGGUUCGAUUCGAGCGAAAGCGAGAGAACGUUGCCACAGGCAACGGCCCGAAGGGUGAAGAGCGAAGCGCUGAGUAAUCCUUCCCCCACCACCA